Molecule: non-coding RNA, 92 nt
Filed under: Paraburkholderia fungorum
Lineage: Bacteria; Pseudomonadati; Pseudomonadota; Betaproteobacteria; Burkholderiales; Burkholderiaceae
Source: RNAcentral
UCUAAUGGGCGGGCUGUGGUGGGGGAGCCGCAAGGCUCGCCGGUAUGGUACAGAGCCGGUCUUCCAAACCCGCCACGUGCCCGCUCACCCCU